RNAcentral lists this ribosomal RNA (476 nucleotides) under Phyllium arthurchungi. RNAcentral's name for it is "partial 16S ribosomal RNA". The stretch from base 339 to 476 matches the Rfam family "Bacterial large subunit ribosomal RNA", at positions 2473 to 2611 of the family's 2925-position model. Lineage: Eukaryota; Metazoa; Arthropoda; Insecta; Phasmatodea; Phylliidae. The record is from RNAcentral.
AUGAUUAUUAUUUAAUGGCCGCGGUAUCUUGACCGUGCAAAGGUAGCGUAAUCAUUAGCUUAUUAAUUGUUAGAUGGUAUGAAUGGUUGGACGAGAUAUUUACUGUCUCUUAUUUAUUAUUUAGAAUUUAAUUUUUGAGUUAAAAAGCUUAAAUUUUAUUAAAGGACGAGAAGACCCUAUAGAUCUUUAUUUUUAUUAUUUUAUGAAUUUAGUUUUAUUUAUUUUAUUAAAUUUUUGGUUGGGGUGACCUUGAGAUAUAAUUAACUCUUUAUUUACUUUUCAUUUAUUUAUGUUUAAAUGAUCUUUUAUUAUUGUUUAUAAGAUUAAGAUACCUUAGGGAUAACAGCGUAAUUUCAUUUGAGAGUUCUUAUUGACAAUGGAGAUUGCGACCUCGAUGUUGAAUUAAGAUUAUUAUUAGGUGUAGUAGCUUAAUUAUAAGGUCUGUUCGACCUUUAAAAUCUUACAUGAUCUGAGUU